GGCCUAACACAUGCAGUCGAGCGGAUGAGUGGAGCUUGCUCCAUGAUUCAGCGGCGGACGGGUGAGUAAUGCCUAGGAAUCUGCCUGGUAGUGGGGGACAACGUUUCGAAAGGAACGCUAAUACCGCAUACGUCCUACGGGAGAAAGUGGGGGAUCUUCGGACCUCACGCUAUCAGAUGAGCCUAGGUCGGAUUAGCUAGUUGGUGAGGUAAAGGCUCACCAAGGCGACGAUCCGUAACUGGUCUGAGAGGAUGAUCAGUCACACUGGAACUGAGACACGGUCCAGACUCCUACGGGAGGCAGCAGUGGGGAAUAUUGGACAAUGGGCGAAAGCCUGAUCCAGCCAUGCCGCGUGUGUGAAGAAGGUCUUCGGAUUGUAAAGCACUUUAAGUUGGGAGGAAGGGCAGUAAGUUAAUACCUUGCUGUUUUGACGUUACCAACAGAAUAAGCACCGGCUAACUUCGUGCCAGCA
Molecule: ribosomal RNA, 472 nt
Filed under: Stutzerimonas stutzeri
Lineage: Bacteria; Pseudomonadati; Pseudomonadota; Gammaproteobacteria; Pseudomonadales; Pseudomonadaceae
Description: bacterial SSU rRNA
Rfam family: Bacterial small subunit ribosomal RNA
Source: RNAcentral